RNAcentral lists this ribosomal RNA (492 nucleotides) under uncultured bacterium. RNAcentral's name for it is "partial 16S ribosomal RNA". It matches the Rfam family "Bacterial small subunit ribosomal RNA", at positions 29 to 507 of the family's 1533-position model. The record is from RNAcentral.
AGUGAACGCUGGCGGUAGGCCUAACACAUGCAAGUCGAACGGCAGCACAGUAAGAGCUUGCUCUUACGGGUGGCGAGUGGCGGACGGGUGAGGAAUACAUCGGAAUCUACUUUUUUGUGGGGGAUAACGUAGGGAAACUUACGCUAAUACCGCAUACGACCUACGGGUGAAAGCAGGGGAUCUUCGGACCUUGCGCGAUUGAAUGAGCCGAUGUCGGAUUAGCUAGUUGGCGGGGUAAAGGCCCACCAAGGCGACGAUCCGUGGCUGGUCUGAGAGGAUGAUCAGCCACACUGGAACUGAGACACGGUCCAGACUCCUACGGGAGGCAGCAGUGGGGAAUAUUGGACAAUGGGCGCAAGCCUGAUCCAGCCAUACCGCGUGGGUGAAGAAGGCCUUCGGGUUGUAAAGCCCUUUUGUUGGGAAAGAAAAGCAGCAGGUUAAUACCCCGCUGUUCUGACGGUACCCAAAGAAUAAGCACCGGCUAACUUCGUG